Scatophagus argus is the source of this 92-nucleotide small nucleolar RNA. RefSeq annotates it as U8 small nucleolar RNA. Lineage: Eukaryota; Metazoa; Chordata; Actinopteri; Scatophagidae. The transcript has a single exon. The record is from RefSeq and is a predicted model, not a curated record.
UCGUCAGUAAGGUAUAUCCUUACCUGUUACUCCAUUCAUGGAGUAUCUCCGUCUUGUGGGGAACAGCAACACCCCACGAGAUCCAUUCUGAU